AGAUAGAGAGAGAACCGACCGGCUCGCCUGCUCGAUUAACUUGCAAAUUGAACGGAUGAUCGUAUUGUAAAUGGGAUGAUUGAAAUUGGAAUUCGUCGACGAUGGCAUGCCAGACACUUCUCUUCGAUUGAUCAGAGAUUAGCGUCGGAGAGUUGAUAUUGAAAGAGAAAAUACAGUAAAGUGAAAUGAAAUGUUCUUUGUGGCUCAUUAUGGGAUAGCUCGAAGUGGUCCGGUCAUCUUGGUAUCAUUAUUCAGUUUGACUCACUGGAUUGAUUAUGGCGAUGGAGAAAUCUAAAAUGAAAAAUUAACAACGCGGUGAAUUUAACAACCUUAGGUAAAUGAAAAAAAAAUCAUCUCAGAAAUGAUUUACUUCUGAGUUGAUGGGACAAAUACUAUUUUCUGGAGAGCCAAAAACUGAGAAUCAUUGAAGAUGUAAGUACUUACUUACAGUCGGCGAAAGGAUUUUCUUCAAGAGGAUUUGGUUUUGCUGGAAAACAUUUUUUCAUCUCGACUCUCUUCCUGAAAUGUACUUACUUUAUAGUGAAAUAAAACUUUCAUAUUGCUGA
Molecule: long non-coding RNA, 566 nt
Organism: Leptinotarsa decemlineata (Colorado potato beetle)
Lineage: Eukaryota; Metazoa; Arthropoda; Insecta; Coleoptera; Chrysomelidae
Source: RefSeq, a predicted model, not a curated record